AAUGCUCUUUGGCCAGAGAAUAGUUUUUUUGGGCGGCAUUUUCCUUCUUCUUACCUACGCUCUUCUUCAAUUUGGAAACCUAAUCAAUUCUCUCAAUCAGUUACGCUCUUCUUCAAUUUGAAAAUCAUUCUCCAGGCAAAUUGAUUUCUCUUUAAAUCUCAAAACCUAAUCAAAUUGACAUUGUUGAGAAGCCAGGAAAUUGAGAAUUGAACGACAAUACUUUUCUCCUCUUUUUCUUUCACGCUAAUCGUGUUCCUUCAUCAUCUACGAUCCUAAUCUCUGUCGUUCUUAUUCAUAAAACAAACAGGGAAUUCAAUCGUUUCAAUCGGUUUAGUUUCAAGCCGGUUGGAAAGAACUGGCGUCCGUUUUCACUUAGAGCAUGCAUGAAAGAAAGUGUGACCGUAACUGUUAAACCUGGAACUUCACUCCAGAUAACAGUCGUUGCUGUGGAGGGACAGGGCACUGGUGUCACUUUGGUGGAUGUGACACCCCAUGGUUUCGGAGUGGAAAAACCUGAUGGAUCUGGGUCUAAUGUAAGCAAGGAAAGCACUGAUCCAAAUAAAGAUCUGGAAGCUACUAUUCGUUCAAAAAAACCGAAGCUCUACGGAAGCGUUGAUGCUUUCUUUGACCGAGAUUUUCUGAAGAUAUAUUUGAAAAACAGCCUAAAUGAGGACAAGAAGAAGCCAGUAGAUAUAAUUGACAUUGCUUCAAAGAUUCUACCUUUCCCAGCUGAACGCCGCCUCCUUUCUGCUGCUUUCAAAGUUGCGAAACCAUUUGCUGGACACUUUGCUAAACAGGCCUUUCGUUUCAUUCUCGAAAUAAUACCUCCUAACCUCCCAACACUACCUGCUGCGGAAUCUGAGAAUCACCCCGAUGAAUCUAAGAAUCACCCCACACUUUCAGAAGGGCUGUAGGGGCUGCCGGUGUCAGUUGAAAGCGCCAGUGAAUGACGGCUUGGGGGUUUCGGUCGAAACAACCAUGUGGAAAUCUAGCCAAGUGUGUAUACACUUGAGAGAUGAUUGUGAGCUGAGUUUAAAGAGGUCAAAGAUGAUGUGUUUCAAGGUGACGACGGCUACCCACUUAAAGCAUGCUACCCACUGAUGUUACAUGUGUUCUUCAAAUUCUUAGAGACUGUGAUCCCAAAAUAUAACGAUUUCAAGCAGCCCGGAGACAGAUACCGAUCAUGGGAUCUAGCCAGGCAAGAGAGAUUCAUUGUCCGAAUGUGUAAGAUAUUGUCUGACCCACGGGUAACCCAUGAACUCCGCAGUAUUUGGAUCUCCUACUGGACCCAGGCUUACCAGUCUCUGGGGCAGAAGAUAGCAUCACGCCUCAAUGUGCACCCCAAUUAUUGAACACGGUUAUCUUGAGUUUGGGCCCGCUUAAGCUAGAUUGAUGAUCAUGCUAUAGUAGGUCCAUCUCUAAGAUUGUUAUGUUACACAAGCGGUGUUGUAUGUAUCAGUCCUACCUUUCGUCUGUAAUAUUUUAUCAUACUUAAGGAACCUGAAACUUAGAAUAAGUGCACACCUAGAUGUGUGAGUUACAAUAUAAAAUUAUAAUUUUUACUUACAAUUUUAAAAGACUUAAUUUUUACUUCAAUAGUUCAAUUCACAUUAAAAUCUAUUUUGAAGUUUACAUGGCCUUUUGAAUCUUUCUGCUUUUUACAGCUGGUAAACCAUGUUUACUUUUCGCCUGAUGGGCAAUGGAUUGCAAUUGCAAUUGGCUGGUGGACCAUUUUAUCCUGUACACACUGGUAGGAAAGACAGUGAUUACUCUUUCCCUGAAAUUUCAUAUGAGACCAUCCGUGUAACACACGGGUACUUAGACAUUGUGAAAAAUUAUGUUUACGAUCAAUAUACAUAACUUUAGGAUGUCAAAGAGAAGCACUCAGUUACUCUCUUAUAGCUCAAUAUCACCAGGAUGUAAUAAAGUAUUUAUGUAUUAAAGUAUAAUUUUUUUGUUGUUUAGCCACCCGUGUAUUACACGGGAACUUAUUAGACUAGUUUAAUGAUAAAUGAUUACAUUGCUAUCAACUAAUUAGCUAAGAAUAAGAUACUAUAGUCAUA
Helianthus annuus (common sunflower) is the source of this 2063-nucleotide RNA transcript. It is a transcript of the gene named catalase-1, with no coding region annotated. Lineage: Eukaryota; Viridiplantae; Streptophyta; Magnoliopsida; Asterales; Asteraceae. The transcript has 11 exons. The record is from RefSeq and is a predicted model, not a curated record.